This 293-nucleotide long non-coding RNA is filed under the name Elaeis guineensis (African oil palm). Its description in RNAcentral is "long non-coding RNA (EGUI_LNC047286)". The record is from RNAcentral. Lineage: Eukaryota; Viridiplantae; Streptophyta; Magnoliopsida; Arecales; Arecaceae.
GAUAAGCUUCUAUUGAUCUUUUUAUUGAGAUCAAUUUUUUCAUGAGCUAGGCCUCCUGAUGAGCCUCUGUUGAGCUUUCUAUUGAGGUCAAUUUUUUCAUGAGCUAGGCCUCCUGAUGAGCUGUUGACCUUUUUGUUGAGGUCGAUUUUUUUAUGAGCUCAGCCUUCACCCUUCUAAUAAGAUCAGCUUUUUGAUGAGCUAGGCUUUCUGAUGAAUCCUUGUUGACCUUUCUAUUGAGAUCGGUAUUUUCAUGAGCUAGCCCUCUUGAUAAGCCUCUAUUAACCUUUCUAUUG